GAUGAACGCUGGCGGCGUGCCUAAUACAUGCAAGUCGAGCGAACAGACGAGGAGCUUGCUCCUCUGACGUUAGCGGCGGACGGGUGAGUAACACGUGGAUAACCUACCUAUAAGACUGGGAUAACUUCGGGAAACCGGAGCUAAUACCGGAUAAUAUAUUGAACCGCAUGGUUCAAUAGUGAAAGACGGUUUUGCUGUCACUUAUAGAUGGAUCCGCGCCGCAUUAGCUAGUUGGUAAGGUAACGGCUUACCAAGGCGACGAUGCGUAGCCGACCUGAGAGGGUGAUCGGCCACACUGGAACUGAGACACGGUCCAGACUCCUACGGGAGGCAGCAGUAGGAAUCUUCCGCAAUGGGCGAAAGCCUGACGGAGCAACGCCGCGUGAGUGAUGAAGGUCUUCGGAUCGUAAAACUCUGUUAUUAGGGAAGAACAAAUGUGUAAGUAACUAUGCACGUCUUGACGGUACCUAAUCAGAAAGCCACGGCUAACUACGUG
Molecule: ribosomal RNA, 496 nt
Filed under: uncultured bacterium
Lineage: Bacteria
Description: partial 16S ribosomal RNA
Rfam family: Bacterial small subunit ribosomal RNA
Source: RNAcentral